GCCCCUGUAGCUCAGCGGAUAGAGCGACUGCCUUCUAAGCAGUAAGUCGGGGAUUCGAAUUCCUCCAGGGGCGCCA
This 76-nucleotide transfer RNA is filed under the name Chloroflexota bacterium. Its description in RNAcentral is "Chloroflexi bacterium (seawater metagenome) tRNA-Arg". It matches the Rfam family "tRNA". From Rfam's summary of the family: Transfer RNA (tRNA) molecules are approximately 80 nucleotides in length. Their secondary structure includes four short double-helical elements and three loops (D, anti-codon, and T loops). Further hydrogen bonds mediate the characteristic L-shaped molecular structure. tRNAs have two regions of fundamental functional importance: the anti-codon, which is responsible for specific mRNA codon recognition, and the 3' end, to which the tRNAs corresponding amino acid is attached (by aminoacyl-tRNA synthetases). tRNAs cope with the degeneracy of the genetic code in two manners: having more than one tRNA (with a specific anti-codon) for a particular amino acid; and 'wobble' base-pairing, i.e. permitting non-standard base-pairing at the 3rd anti-codon position. The record is from RNAcentral. RNAcentral also lists the same sequence under 1 other name. Lineage: Bacteria; Bacillati; Chloroflexota.